This 278-nucleotide ribosomal RNA is filed under the name uncultured bacterium. RNAcentral describes it as "partial 16S ribosomal RNA". It matches the Rfam family "Bacterial small subunit ribosomal RNA", at positions 28 to 334 of the family's 1533-position model. The record is from RNAcentral.
GAUGAACGCUGGCGGCGUGCCUAACACAUGCAAGUCGGACGAGACCUUCGGGUCUAGUGGCGCACGGGUGCGUAACGCGUGGGAAUCCGCCCUUGGGUUCGGAAUAACUCGCCGAAAGGCGUGCUAAUACCGGAUGAUGUCGUAAGACCAAAGAUUUAUCGCCCAGGGAUGAGCCCGCGUAAGAUUAGGUAGUUGGUGAGGUAAAGGCUCACCAAGCCGACGAUCUUUAGCUGGUCUGAGAGGAUGAUCAGCCACACUGGGACUGAGACACGGUCCAA